UGGGGAAUUUUGGACAAUGGGCGAAAGCCUGAUCCAGCGACGCCGCGUGAGCGAUGAAGGCCUUCGGGUCGUAAAGCUCUGUCAGGUGGAGUGAAAUAUGGUUGGGAAUAAUACCCUGAUCAUUUGACGGUACCACCGAAGGAAGCACCGGCUAACUCUGUGCCAGCAGCCGCGGUAAGACAGAGGGUGCAAGCGUUGUUCGGAAUUAUUGGGCGUAAAGAGCGUGUAGGCGGCUGGAUUAGUCAGAUGUGAAAGCCCUGGGCUUAACCCAGGAAGUGCAUUUGAAACUGUCCGGCUUGAGUAAGGGAGAGGAAAGCGGAACUCACAGUGUAGCGGUGAAAUGCGUAGAUAUUGUGAGGAACACCAGUGGCGAAGGCGGCUUUCUGGACCAUUUCUGACGCUGAGGCACGAAAGCAUGGGGAGCAAACAGG
RNAcentral lists this ribosomal RNA (431 nucleotides) under uncultured bacterium. RNAcentral describes it as "bacterial SSU rRNA". It matches the Rfam family "Bacterial small subunit ribosomal RNA", at positions 355 to 776 of the family's 1533-position model. The record is from RNAcentral.